Molecule: ribosomal RNA, 305 nt
Filed under: uncultured bacterium
Lineage: Bacteria
Description: bacterial SSU rRNA
Rfam family: Bacterial small subunit ribosomal RNA
Source: RNAcentral
GCCUACGGGACGCAGCAGUCGAGAAUCAUUCACAAUGGGGGAAACCCUGAUGGUGCGACGCCGCGUGGGGGAAUGAAGGUCUUCGGAUUGUAAACCCCUGUCAUGUGGGAGCAAAUUAAAAAGAUAGUACCACAAGAGGAAGAGACGGCUAACUCUGUGCCAGCAGCCGCGGUAAUACAGAGGUCUCAAGCGUUGUUCGGAAUCACUGGGCGUAAAGCGUGCGUAGGCUGUUUCGUAAGUCGUGUGUGAAAGGCGCGGGUUCAACCCGCGGGCGGCACAUGAUACUGCGUGACUAGAGUAAUGGG